Molecule: non-coding RNA, 88 nt
Organism: Oleiphilus sp. HI0009
Lineage: Bacteria; Pseudomonadati; Pseudomonadota; Gammaproteobacteria; Oceanospirillales; Oleiphilaceae
Source: Rfam
GGUGAGUUGGCGGAAUGGUAACGCACUCGACUGCUAAUCGAGAGGUUCUUUUUAAAAGGACUUAUGAGUUCAAGUCUCAUACUCACCG